This 1145-nucleotide ribosomal RNA is filed under the name Enterobacter sp. RNAcentral's name for it is "bacterial SSU rRNA". It matches the Rfam family "Bacterial small subunit ribosomal RNA", at positions 39 to 1147 of the family's 1533-position model. Lineage: Bacteria; Pseudomonadati; Pseudomonadota; Gammaproteobacteria; Enterobacterales; Enterobacteriaceae. The record is from RNAcentral.
ACGAUGGGGGCUACAUGCAGUCGACGGUAGCACAGAGAGCUUGCUCUCGGGUGACGAGUGGCGGACGGGUGAGUAAUGUCUGGGAAACUGCCUGAUGGAGGGGGAUAACUACUGGAAACGGUAGCUAAUACCGCAUAACGUCGCAAGACCAAAGAGGGGGACCUUCGGGCCUCUUGCCAUCAAAUGUGCCCAGAUGGGAUUAGCUAGUAGGUGGGGUAACGGCUCACCUAGGCGACCAUCCCUAGCUGGUCUGAAAGGAUGACCAGCCACACUGGAACUGACACACGGUCCACACUCCUACGGGAGGCAGCAGUGGGGAAUAUUGCACAAUGGGCGCAAGCCUGAUGCAUCCAUGCCGCGUGUAUGAAGAAGGCCUUCGGGUUGUAAAGUACUUUCAGCGGGGAGGAAGGUGUUGUGGUUAAUAACCACAGCAAUUGACGUUACCCACAGAACAAGCACCGGCUAACUCCGUGCCAGCAGCCGCGGUAAUACGGAGGGUGCAAGCGUUAAUCGGAAUUACUGGGCGUAAAGCGCACGCACGCGGUCUGUCAAGUCGGAUGUGAAAUCCCCGGGCUCAACCUGGGAACUGCAUUCGAAACUGGCAGGCUGGAGUCUUGUAGAGGGGGGUAGAAUUCCAGGUGUAGCGGUGAAAUGCGUACAGAUCUGGAGGAAUACCGGUGGCGAAGGCGGCCCCCUGGACAAAGACUGACGCUCGGUGCGAAAGCGUGGGGAGCAAACAGGAUUAGAUACCCUGGUAGUCCACGCCGUAAACGAUGUCUAUUUGGAGGUUGUGCCCUUGAGGCGUGGCUUCCCGGAGCUAACGCAAUAAAUCGACCGCCUGGGGAGUGCGGCCGCGAUGUUAAAAACUCAAAUGAAUUGACGGGGGGCCCCGCACCAGCGGAGGGAGCAUGUGUUUUUAAUUUCGAUGCGACGACGAAGCAAUCCUUACCUGGUCUUGACAUCCACAGCUCCUAUACCAAAUGAUGUGAUUUGGCUGUCGUUCAAGUACUAUGAAGAACAAGCUGCAUGCAUUGCCUGGUCGUUCAGCUCGUGUCGUGAAAAUGGUUGGGGAUUUAAGGUCCCAGCACGGCAGCGAUCCAUCAUUCUUGCUUGCCAUUCGCCUCAUGCCUGGGUACUCUAAAGCU